CUCAUUUCCUUGUUACACAAGCUUUUGAUGAAGAUGAAAAAGAGAAUGUUGAAGAUGCUAUAGAAUUGUACACAGAAGCUGUGGAUCUCUGUCUGAAAACAUCUUAUGAAACUGCUGAUAAAGUCCUGCAAAAUAAACUGAAACAGUUGGCUCGACAGGCACUAGACAGAGCAGAAGCGCUGAGUGAGCCUUUGACCAAGCCAGUUGGCAAAAUCAGUUCAACAAGUGUUAAGCCAAAGCCACCUCCAGUGAGAGCACAUUUUCCACUGGGCGCUAAUCCCUUCCUUGAAAGACCUCAGUCAUUUAUAAGUCCUCAGUCAUGUGAUGCACAAGGACAGAGAUACACAGCAGAAGAAAUAGAAGUACUCAGGACAACAUCAAAAAUAAAUGGUAUAGAAUAUGUUCCUUUCAUGAAUGUUGACCUGAGAGAACGUUUUGCCUAUCCAAUGCCUUUCUGUGAUAGAUGGGGCAAGCUACCAUUAUCACCUAAAC
This 492-nucleotide long non-coding RNA is filed under the name Homo sapiens (human). Its description in RNAcentral is "HSALNT0051393". Lineage: Eukaryota; Metazoa; Chordata; Mammalia; Primates; Hominidae. The record is from RNAcentral.